Andrographis paniculata is the source of this 848-nucleotide long non-coding RNA. RefSeq lists it as uncharacterized. The transcript is spliced from 4 exons. The record is from RefSeq and is a predicted model, not a curated record. NCBI's taxonomy places the organism in Eukaryota, Viridiplantae, Streptophyta, Magnoliopsida, Lamiales, Acanthaceae.
CUCACCUAUAAAUACCCACUCACUCCGUCAUUUCCAACUUUGCCCUUCUGAAAAAGCUUUAGAAACCGCCGGUUAUUCGUCUUUCCAAAUUAAAAAUUCAAAGUCCUUCUAGCAAAUUUUAGGAGAAUUUGAGCUCUCAAAUCCCUUUCACACGUUGGUUAUUCUUCGCGCGGAAUUGGGAGUAAAACAUGUUAGUCCAGAAUCAUUGGAUCAAAAAUCACCACCGUAGCCGCGUUGCCCAUAGGCCAACAAUCGCGAAGAACCAUUUUUUUUUCUUGUUUGAUAUUUUCGUGCCACUGCGAGCCCUUCUUCUCCGGCGAAGAGCGACGUCGGAAUUUUACAAAGAUCACUGGCCUAGAUUCCGACAAACACAAAGACCCAUCUAUCCCAAUUUGUUACGGCCAUUGGACAACAAUCCAUUUCUCUUCGAAGAAGACCCACCUUAUUGUUUUCGAAAGAAGCAUCGUGCUAAAGUGACUAUUCUUCAUCCAUUUACCAAAAACUCAGAACAAAUCAAGACGCUGAUAUCUUAAUUGCAGUUGCAGAAGUACUCAAUUUGGUCCGUGAUAGUUGGUUAAAGCCAGACACAAUUGUUGUAAUAUUUAAAUGUGUAAUUUUUUUUUUUAUUUUGAAAGAAUGUCCAUCAAUCCUCUCAUUGUAAUUACUUUUAGCGUGCUAAACAUAAUAAAUGUUGUAUAUAAAUAUACAACAAUAAGAGAAUUGUUGCAUUGAAGCUCUUUUGUAAAUUUGAUGUAUUAUGGUAGAUGAACAGAAAUUAUGGGUAUGUGAGAUAGUAUUUUAUAUAUGACUUGUUGACAAUAAAGGUUUCUGAAAAUUUAACAGAGGUA